This 1313-nucleotide ribosomal RNA is filed under the name metagenome. RNAcentral describes it as "SSU rRNA". It matches the Rfam family "Eukaryotic small subunit ribosomal RNA", at positions 3 to 1327 of the family's 1831-position model. The record is from RNAcentral.
CCUGGUUGAUCCUGCCAGUGGUCAUAUGCUUGUUUCAAAGCCUAAGCCAUGCAUGUCUAAGCACAGCUUGUAAAAGUGAAGCCGCGAAUAGCUCAUUACAACAGCCGUUGUUUAUUGGAUCUCCAUUCUCUACUUGGAUAACUGUGGUAAUUCUAGAGCUAAUACAUGCGACCAAGGCCUGAACUUACGUGAUGGCUGCAUUUAUUAGAACAAGACCAACCGGCCUCGGCCGUUCUCUGGUGACUCUGAAUAACUGAGUGAAUCACAUGGUCUAGCACCGGUGAUGUAUCUUUCAAGUGUCUGCCUUAUCAACUUUCGAUGGUAGUUUAUGUGCCUACCAUGGUUGUAACGGGUAACGGAGAAUAAGGGUUUGACUCCGGAGAGGGAGCCUGAGAAACGGCUACCACUUCUAAGGAAGGCAGCAGGCGCGCAAAUUACCCAUUCUCGGCACGAGGAGGUAGUGACGAAAAAUACCAAGCUGGGAUCCAUUGGGUUCCGGCAUUGGAAUGAGAACAAUAUAAAUCUUUUAACGAGGAUCUAGUGGAGGGCAAGUCUGGUGCCAGCAGCCGCGGUAAUUCCAGCUCCGCAAGUGUAUAUCUAUGUUGCUGCGGUUAAAAAGCUCGUAGUUGGAUCUGCGCGUUUAGCGUCCGGUUCGACUUUUGGUCGUUACUGGAACGCGACACAGAUGUGCUGGUUUGCCGUUGAUGCUCUUAAUCGGGUGUCAGUGGCGGCUAGCGAGUUUACUUUGAAAAAAUUAGAGUGCUCAAAACAGGCGUUUCGCCUGAAUAUUUCUGCAUGGAAUAAUAGAAUAGGACUUCGAUUCUAUUCUGUUGGUUUUCGGAAUGCGAAGUAAUGAUUAAGAGGGACAGACGGGGGCAUUCGUACUGCGACGUUAGAGGUGAAAUUCUUGGAUCGUCGCAAGACGUACUACUGCGAAGGCAUUUGCCAAGAAUGUUUUCAUUAAUCAAGAACGAAAGUUAUGGGUUCGAAGGCGAUCAGAUACCGCCCUAGUCAUAACCGUAAACGAUUCAAACUGGGCGCCCGACGGUGUUUUUAUUGACCCGUCGGGAACCCUCCCGGAAACGAAAGUGUUCGUGUUCCGGGGGAAAUAUGUCUGCAAAGAGGAAACUUAAAGGAAUUGACGGAAGGGCACCACCAGGGGUGGAGCCUGCGGCUUAAUUUGACCCAACACGGGGAAACUCACCCGGCCCGGACACCGUAAGGAUUGACAGAUUGAGAGCUCUUUCUUGAUUCGGUGGGUGGUGGUGCAUGGCCGUUCUUAGUUGGUGGAGUGAUUUGUCUGGUUUAUUCCG